UACGAGAGGCCCAAACGUUAUUCGGAAUUACUGGGCUUAAAGAGUUCGUAGGCGGCAUGAAAAGUAGGGUGUGAAAGCCCUCGGCUCAACCGAGGAAUUGCGCUCUAAACUGUCGUGCUCGAGGAACCUAGAGGUGAGCAGAACAGAUGGUGGAGCGGUGAAAUGCGUUGAUAUCAGGAGGAACACCAAUGGCGAAGGCAGCUCGCUGGGACGGUACUGACGCUGAGACGCGAAAGCGUGGGGAGCGAACAGG
RNAcentral lists this ribosomal RNA (253 nucleotides) under uncultured bacterium. RNAcentral's name for it is "partial 16S ribosomal RNA". It matches the Rfam family "Bacterial small subunit ribosomal RNA", at positions 524 to 776 of the family's 1533-position model. The record is from RNAcentral.